UCUAUGUUAUUAGAAAACAAUAACAAACUUGUUGGGAUGAGGUAUAUAUGUAGGUUGGAGCGCGUUGUUUGAAUAGGAAGGUUGAUUUUUCUUCUCAGUUUAUGGAAUUAGACUUUGAUGCAGCGCUUGUAUGUUGACGUUCUAGAAUUUCAAUAAAGUAUACCCCAUUAAUUAAUUAAUUAAUUCUAGGAUAUUAUUCGUGGAUUAUCAAACAUAAGAUUUUGAUUAGCCAAACCCUAGGACUUAGAAUCUCUGGAGAGACUAGAAUGUUUAAUCAUUAAUCAGUUACCAACUCAAUAUAGCACUAAUUUGUGUUUGGGCUCACUUCACAAUAUUUUAUCAUGACCAAAACCAUUAAUGUUUUAGAUCUUCAUUCAAAGGUCACCAUUACCAUCCAAAUCUAUCAAAAUAGGAUAAAUUAGUCCAGGUUUUAAUCCGUUUAAGGGAAUGUGAUAUCACUUGUAAUUAAUUCCUACCACAUAGGGGUUUUCUCUAAACUCUAUAUAUUGUAAACUUUGUACAUAAUUAAUUCAAGGAGUCAUAUUUCUACAAAGUCGGAAGUAAUUAGUCAUUUGAUUAUUGUCAUGAACAUUUCAUGUGUUUUUUGCAACACUGUGUCACAAUUGGAUAUUGAAAAUGUUCAGCAGUGUUGAAGCGCUAAUCAGUUUUGAAUCUAUUUUUGGGUAUUUGGUAGAUUUUUUCAAUGGUUUUUCUGGGUUUCUCUUAUAGUUUUUGAAAUUACGGAGCAUUUGAUGAGUAUGAAGGGAUAGAAGUUGCUUUAAUUAAACUAGGUCAAGCUCUAUGAUCUCCUGCAGUGCCCUGAAGAUCUUGAGAGGCUCUACUAAAUCCACCUCCUCAACACAUCGAAUUACAGAAACAUCAUGAAGUUCUACCCUUCCUCGGUUGAUACUGCCAACAGAAACAUCAAUUUUGUCACUGACAUGUUCACCUUUGGGACUUAAGCAAUUUCAAUUCAAUUUUAUUGGAGUGGGGACACCAGAGUUCAUGGCUGCUGAAGUAUGUGAAGAGGGAAACGAAGAAGAUGAAGAAGGAAGCAGUAAAACUCAGAUGGUGGAGACUUAGAGAGUUUGAGGGGGAUGGAGCAGCUUCUUAUGACUUUGAACCUUGACUUGUCAACAAUUCAGGGCUGCAAGAGUUGACCAAGAGAAAAGAACUCAAUUACGCUAAGCCUGUAAGCUUGUAUUGACGAAGAGCGUACAUGACCUCAUCCUGUAUGAAAUACUUCCACCUACGAAGUACGGAUACGGGAGCGGGAGUAGAGAUUUGGAGGCAAUUCCGAUUUAGAGCAUGAAAAUUCAAAAAAUCCCGAUUUGGAAGCGGCGGGGAUUCAUCUAUUAAAAAAAUAUAACAUAUAAUUAA
Pyrus x bretschneideri (Chinese white pear) is the source of this 1380-nucleotide long non-coding RNA. RefSeq lists it as uncharacterized. Lineage: Eukaryota; Viridiplantae; Streptophyta; Magnoliopsida; Rosales; Rosaceae. The transcript has 3 exons. The record is from RefSeq and is a predicted model, not a curated record.